Molecule: ribosomal RNA, 633 nt
Filed under: Amphistegina lobifera
Lineage: Eukaryota; Foraminifera; Rotaliida; Amphisteginidae
Description: SSU rRNA
Rfam family: Eukaryotic small subunit ribosomal RNA
Source: RNAcentral
GUGGAGCAUGUGGCUUAAUUUGACUCAACGCGGGGAAUCUUACUAGGUCCGGACCGAUUCUAUGAUCGUCGUACUGUGGGGUGCUACGUGAUUACUGGAUGAGUGGUGCAUGGCCGUUCUUAGUUCGUGGUGUCAGUUGUCUACUUAAUUGUCAUUGGUUCUCGUAUCUUACGGUACAGAACUGAUAACGAACGAGAUCGAGGCCCGUGGUUGUGUCGUUGGUUAUUAUUGUGUGCGGCAUUAACCACAGGGAUCGCGUAAUACUCCACGGUACGAUCGAAAGACUCGGCAAUAACAGGUCUGUGAUGCCCUCAGAUGUUCUAGGCUGCACACGUGCUACAUUGUGGUUUCGCGUAGUGUGUGUGUGCAUAGAACUGAUAAGAUCCCCCGCACCGAGUCUCAAUUAAUCACUUGGUUGGACUCACCGUUUGUAAUUAUUCGGUAUACUAACUAGGAAUGCCUCGUACCGGGUAUGGUUCAACGAGACCCCCUGGAAUCCGUCCCUGCCCUUUGUACACACCGCCCGUCGCUCUUACCGAUGGGCGUGGUUUUUAGUUGUGGUGACCGUUCUAUGAACGUAACCCACCGCUCGCAACCACGCCUAAAGGAAAGAGAAGUCGUAACAAGGCAUCG